This 387-nucleotide ribosomal RNA is filed under the name Triticum aestivum (bread wheat). Its description in RNAcentral is "partial small subunit ribosomal RNA". Lineage: Eukaryota; Viridiplantae; Streptophyta; Magnoliopsida; Poales; Poaceae. The record is from RNAcentral.
AUGGAUUUACACCCACAGGUGAUCUGCUGGAAUGUUCGAGGCUUGAACAAUCCAGCUAAACGCAAGGCGGUGCGGGAGUUUAUGAGUACUCUUGAGGUCAAUUUAGCUUGCUUGCAAGAAACAAAGUUGGAUGUAAUAGAUAGAUAUCUAGUGAUGCAAUGUUUGGGACCAUCAUUCGAUGGUUUUGCUUACCUGCCGGCUAUUGAGACUAGAGGGGGGGUGCUUCUUGCAUGGAAGAGUACGGUCUUGGAGGUGGAGGCCAUACAGAUCGACACUAACUUCUUGACCGGUCGGGUGCGCACUAAAACUAAUGAUCCUUGGCGGAUCUCAGUGGGUCUAUGGACCGCAGAGCGACGAGCAGAAAUGUAUCUUCUUGGAGGAGCUUAG